AUUGAACGCUGGCGGCAUGCUUUACACAUGCAAGUCGAACGGUAACAGGCCGCAAGGUGCUGACGAGUGGCGAACGGGUGAGUAAUGCAUCGGAACGUGCCCAGUCGUGGGGGAUAACGCAGCGAAAGCUGCGCUAGUACCGCAUACGAUCUAUGAAUGAAAGCGGGGGACCGAAAGGCCUCGCGCGAUUGGAGCGGCCGAUGUCAGAUUAGGUAGUUGGUGGGGUAAAGGCUCACCAAGCCAACGAUCUGUAGCUGGUCUGAGAGGACGACCAGCAAGACUGGGACUGAGACACGGCCCAGACUCCUACGGGAGGCAGCAGUGGGGAAUUUUGGACAAUGGGCGCAAGCCUGAUCCAGCAAUGCCGCGUGCAGGAAGAAGGCCUUCGGGUUGUAAACUGCUUUUGUACGGAACGAAACGGUCCUGGUUAAUACCUGGGGCUAAUGACGGUACCGUAAGAAUAAGCACCGGCUAACUACGUGCCAGCCGCCGCCGUAA
Molecule: ribosomal RNA, 498 nt
Filed under: uncultured bacterium
Lineage: Bacteria
Description: partial 16S ribosomal RNA
Rfam family: Bacterial small subunit ribosomal RNA
Source: RNAcentral